GAUCAUGGCUCAGAACGAACGCUGGCGGCAGGCCUAACACAUGCAAGUCGAACGCUCGUAGCAAUACGGGAGUGGCAGACGGGUGCGUAACGCGUGGGAACAUACCCUUUGGUUCGGAAUAACUCAGGGAAACUUGAGCUAAUACCGGAUACGCCCGAGAGGGGAAAGAUUUAUUGCCGAAGGAUUGGCCCGCGUCUGAUUAGCUAGUUGGUAGGGUAACGGCCUACCAAGGCGACGAUCAGUAGCUGGUCUGAGAGGAUGAUCAGCCACACUGGGACUGAGACACGGCCCAGACUCCUACGGGAGGCAGCAGUGGGGAAUAUUGGACAAUGGGCGCAAGCCUGAUCCAGCCAUGCCGCGUGAGUGAUGACGGCCUUAGGGUUGUAAAGCUCUUUUACCUGGGAAGAUAAUGACGGUACCAGGAGAAUAAGCCCCGGCUAACUUCGUG
Molecule: ribosomal RNA, 448 nt
Filed under: uncultured bacterium
Lineage: Bacteria
Description: bacterial SSU rRNA
Rfam family: Bacterial small subunit ribosomal RNA
Source: RNAcentral